CUGCCGUGGGCGUCGAUACUUGAGAGGAGUUGCCCCUAGUACGAGAGGACCGGGGUGAACAUGCCUCUGGUGUACCUGUCGUUCCGCCAGGAGCGCAGCAGGGUAGCUAUGCAUGGACGGGAUAACCGCUGAAAGCAUCUAAGCGGGAAGCCUCCCUCAAGAUAAGGUAUCAUCGAGUCGUGGUAGACCACCACGUUGAUAGGCCGGGUGUGGAAGUGCGGUAACGCAUGAAGCUAACCGGUCCUAAUCACUCAAAUCAUGCUUG
Molecule: ribosomal RNA, 265 nt
Filed under: Bacillus toyonensis
Lineage: Bacteria; Bacillati; Bacillota; Bacilli; Caryophanales; Bacillaceae
Description: partial 23S ribosomal RNA
Rfam family: Bacterial large subunit ribosomal RNA
Source: RNAcentral